RNAcentral lists this ribosomal RNA (309 nucleotides) under uncultured soil bacterium. RNAcentral describes it as "bacterial SSU rRNA". It matches the Rfam family "Bacterial small subunit ribosomal RNA", at positions 26 to 333 of the family's 1533-position model. The record is from RNAcentral.
AGAUUGAACGCUGGCGGCGUGCCUAACACAUGCAAGUCGAGCGGUAACAGGUGUAGCAAUACAUGCUGACGAGCGGCGAACGGGUGAGUAAUGCUUCGGAAUCUACCUUAUGGUGGGGAAUAACUAGCCGAAAGGUUAGCUAAUACCGCAUACGUCCUACGGGAGAAAGCAGGGGAUCGCAAGACCUUGCGCCAAAAGAUGAGCCGAAGUCGGAUUAGCUAGUUGGGUAGGUAACGGCCUACCGAAGGCGACGACUCCGUAGCGUGGUCUGGAGAGGACGACAGCCACACUGGAACUGAGACACGUCCA